Molecule: ribosomal RNA, 498 nt
Filed under: uncultured bacterium
Lineage: Bacteria
Description: partial 16S ribosomal RNA
Rfam family: Bacterial small subunit ribosomal RNA
Source: RNAcentral
GACGAACGCUGGCGGCGUGCCUAAUACAUGCAAGUCGAACGAGAGCGACCGGUGCUUGCACUGGUCAAUCUAGUGGCGAACGGGUGAGUAACACGUGGGUAACCUGCCCAUCAGAGGGGGAUAACAUCCGGAAACGGAUGCUAAAACCGCAUAGGUCUUCGAGCCGCAUGGCUUGAAGAGGAAAAGAGGCGCAAGCUUCUGCUGAUGGAUGGACCCGCGGUGCAUUAGCUAGUUGGUGAGGUAACGGCUCACCAAGGCCGUGAUGCAUAGCCGACCUGAGAGGGUGAUCGGCCACAUUGGGACUGAGACACGGCCCAACCUCCUACGGGAGGCAGCAGUAGGGAAUCUUCCGCAAUGGACGCAAGUCUGACGGAGCAACGCCGCGUGAGUGAAGAAGGUUUUCGGAUCGUAAAACUCUGUUGUUAGAGAAGAACAAGUGCUAGAGUAACUGUUAGCGCCUUGACGGUAUCUAACCAGAAAGCCACGGCCAACUACGUG